AAUGCCUAGGAAUCUGCCUGGUAGUGGGGGACAACGUUUCGAAAGGAACGCUAAUACCGCAUACGUCCUACGGGAGAAAGCAGGGGACCUUCGGGCCUUGCGCUAUCAGAUGAGCCUAGGUCGGAUUAGCUAGUUGGUGGGGUAAUGGCUCACCAAGGCGACGAUCCGUAACUGGUCUGAGAGGAUGAUCAGUCACACUGGAACUGAGACACGGUCCAGACUCCUACGGGAGGCAGCAGUGGGGAAUAUUGGACAAUGGGCGAAAGCCUGAUCCAGCCAUGCCGCGUGUGUGAAGAAGGUCUUCGGAUUGUAAAGCACUUUAAGUUGGGAGGAAGGGCAGUAAGCGAAUACCUUGCUGUUUUGACGUUACCGACAGAAUAAGCACCGGCUAACUCUGUGCCAGCAGCCGCGGUAAUACAGAGGGUGCAAGCGUUAAUCGGAAUUACUGGGCGUAAAGCGCGCGUAGGUGGUUUGUUAAGUUGGAUGUGAAAGCCCCGGGCUCAACCUGGGAACUGCAUCCAAAACUGGCAAGCUAGAGUACGGUAGAGGGUGGUGGAAUUUCCUGUGUAGCGGUGAAAUGCGUAGAUAUAGGAAGGAACACCAGUGGCGAAG
Molecule: ribosomal RNA, 612 nt
Filed under: Pseudomonas sp.
Lineage: Bacteria; Pseudomonadati; Pseudomonadota; Gammaproteobacteria; Pseudomonadales; Pseudomonadaceae
Description: bacterial SSU rRNA
Rfam family: Bacterial small subunit ribosomal RNA
Source: RNAcentral